Molecule: ribosomal RNA, 253 nt
Filed under: uncultured bacterium
Lineage: Bacteria
Description: partial 16S ribosomal RNA
Rfam family: Bacterial small subunit ribosomal RNA
Source: RNAcentral
UACAUACUGUGCGAACGUUAUUCGGAUUCACUGGGCUUAAAGGGUGUGUAGGCGGCUUGUUAAGUAGGAUGUGAAAGCCCCUGGCUCAACCAGGGAACUGCAUUCUAAACUAGCGGGCUAGAGUGAGAUAGGGGUGUGUGGAACUGCCAGUGGAGCGGUGAAAUGUGUUGAUAUUGGCAGGAACGCCGGUGGCGAAAGCGACACACUGGGUCUCAAGUGACGCUGAGACACGAAAGCCAGGGGAGCAAACGGG